Molecule: ribosomal RNA, 253 nt
Filed under: uncultured bacterium
Lineage: Bacteria
Description: partial 16S ribosomal RNA
Rfam family: Bacterial small subunit ribosomal RNA
Source: RNAcentral
UACGAACUGUGCAAACGUUAUUCGGAUUCACUGGGCUUACAGGGUGCGUAGGCGGCCUGUUAAGUAGGGUGUGAAAGCCCCCGGCUCAACCGGGGAAUGGCGCCCUAAACUGGCGGGCUGGAGUGAGAUAAGGGUGUGUGGAACUUCCGGUGGAGCGGUGAAAUGUGUUGAUAUCGGAAGGAACGCCGGUGGCGAAAGCGACACACUGGGUCUCAACUGACGCUGAGGCACGAAAGCCAGGGGGGCGAACGGG